RNAcentral lists this ribosomal RNA (253 nucleotides) under uncultured bacterium. RNAcentral describes it as "partial 16S ribosomal RNA". It matches the Rfam family "Bacterial small subunit ribosomal RNA", at positions 524 to 776 of the family's 1533-position model. The record is from RNAcentral.
UACAUGGGGUGCAAACGUUGCUCGGAAUUAUUGGGCGUAAAGCGCACGUAGGCGGUUUGUUAAGUCGGAUGUGAAAUCCCUCGGCUCAACUGAGGAAGUGCAUCCGAAACUGGCAGGCUUGAGUACUAAAGAGGGUCGCGGAAUUCCCGGUGUAGAGGUGAAAUUCGUAGAUAUCGGGAGGAACACCGGUGGCGAAGGCGGCGAUCUGGGUAGAUACUGACGCUGAGGUGCGAAAGCGUGGGGAGCAAACAGG